This 73-nucleotide transfer RNA is filed under the name Mucisphaera calidilacus. RNAcentral describes it as "Planctomycetes bacterium Pan265 tRNA-Gln". It matches the Rfam family "tRNA". From Rfam's summary of the family: Transfer RNA (tRNA) molecules are approximately 80 nucleotides in length. Their secondary structure includes four short double-helical elements and three loops (D, anti-codon, and T loops). Lineage: Bacteria; Pseudomonadati; Planctomycetota; Phycisphaerae; Phycisphaerales; Phycisphaeraceae. The record is from RNAcentral.
UGGCCCUUGGUGUAAUUGGCAGCACGACUGGUUCUGGUCCAGUUAGUCGGGGUUCGAGUCCCUGAGGGCCAGC